GACGUAGGAAGCGAGCGUUGUCCGGAAUUACUGGGCGUAAAGAGCUCGUAGGCGGGACCGUAAGUCCGAGAGGAAAUCUCAAGGCUCAACUUUGGGGCUUUCUUGGAUACUGCGGUUCUUGAGGAUGUCAGAGGAUAGUAGAAUUCCCGGUGUAGCGGUGAAAUGCGUAGAUAUCGGGAGGAAUACCAGUGGCGAAGGCGACUGUCUGGGACAUUCCUGACGCUGAGGAGCGAAAGCGUGGGGAGCAAACGGG
RNAcentral lists this ribosomal RNA (253 nucleotides) under uncultured bacterium. Its description in RNAcentral is "partial 16S ribosomal RNA". It matches the Rfam family "Bacterial small subunit ribosomal RNA", at positions 524 to 776 of the family's 1533-position model. The record is from RNAcentral.